GUUUGUCGCGUUGUUCGUGAAAUCUCACGGCUUAACUGUGAGCGUGCGGGCGAUACGGGCAGACUUGAGUACUGCAGGGGAGACUGGAAUUCCUGGUGUAGCGGUGGAAUGCGCAGAUAUCAGGAGGAACACCGGUGGCGAAGGCGGGUCUCUGGGCAGUAACUGACGCUGAGGAGCGAAAGCGUGGGGAGCGAACAGGAUUAGAUACCCUGGUAGUCCACGCCGUAAACGGUGGGUACUAGGUGUGGGUUUCCUUCCUUGGGAUCCGUGCCGUAGCUAACGCAUUAAGUACCCCGCCUGGGGAGUACGGCCGCAAGGCUAAAACUCAAAGAAAUUGACGGGGGCCCGCACAAGCGGCGGAGCAUGUGGAUUAAUUCGAUGCAACGCGAAGAACCUUACCUGGGUUUGACAUGCACAGGACGCCGGCAGAGAUGUCGGUUCCCUUGUGGCCUGUGUGCAGGUGGUGCAUGGCUGUCGUCAGCUCGUGUCGUGAGAUGUUGGGUUAAGUCCCGCAACGAGCGCAACCCUUGUCUCAUGUUGCCAGCGGGUAAUGCCGGGGACUCGUGAGAGACUGCCGGGGUCAACUCGGAGGAAGGUGGGGAUGACGUCAAGUCAUCAUGCCCCUUAUGUCCAGGGCUUCACACAUGCUACAAUGGCCGGUACAAAGGGCUGCGAUGCCGCGAGGUUAAGCGAAUCCUUUUAAAGCCGGUCUCAGUUCGGAUCGGGGUCUGCAACUCGACCCCGUGAAGUCGGAGUCGCUAGUAAUCGCA
This 770-nucleotide ribosomal RNA is filed under the name uncultured bacterium. Its description in RNAcentral is "bacterial SSU rRNA". It matches the Rfam family "Bacterial small subunit ribosomal RNA", at positions 578 to 1346 of the family's 1533-position model. The record is from RNAcentral.